This 426-nucleotide ribosomal RNA is filed under the name uncultured bacterium. RNAcentral's name for it is "bacterial SSU rRNA". It matches the Rfam family "Bacterial small subunit ribosomal RNA", at positions 355 to 772 of the family's 1533-position model. The record is from RNAcentral.
UGGGGAAUUGUUCGCAAUGGGCGCAAGCCUGACGACGCAACGCCGCGUGGGGGAUGAAGGUCCUCGGAUUGUAAACCCCUGUUGGGUGGGACGAACACUCCCGUGGUGAACAGCCAUGGGAGCUGACGGUACCACCUGAGGAAGCCCCGGCUACCUCUGUGCCAGCAGCCGCGGUAAUACAGAGGGUGCAAACGUUGCUCGGAAUCAUUGGGCGUAAAGCGCACGUAGGCGGUCCGACAAGUGGGGAGUGAAAGCCCUCGGCUUAACCGAGGAAGUGCUUUCCAAACUGUCGGACUUGAGUACGCAAGAGGAUCGCGGAAUUCCCGGUGUAGAGGUGAAAUUCGUAGAUAUCGGGAGGAACACCAGCGGCGAAGGCGGCGAUCUGGGGCGAUACUGACGCUGAGGUGCGAAAGCGUAGGGAGCAAA